This 507-nucleotide ribosomal RNA is filed under the name Triticum aestivum (bread wheat). Its description in RNAcentral is "partial small subunit ribosomal RNA". Lineage: Eukaryota; Viridiplantae; Streptophyta; Magnoliopsida; Poales; Poaceae. The record is from RNAcentral.
AUGUGCCUCUCCUUCUUAAGACCUCUGCUUUCUCUAGGUGACGGGAGCGUCAUCGCCAAGAUCGGCCCUUGGGGUAAAAUAAGUGCGGACUUACUCGACAUCCCCACGACACCGCAACGUCUAGAGCGCAGCACCAUCCGCCACGGUGUUGUCAUUGAUUCACUUGCAUUUUCCUUCAUUGACAAAGCUGGUGAACCAUAUAACGUUGGCCCGUGGGGUGGCCCACGUGGGGAUAACAAAGACACGAUCGAGCUUGCCGCUUCAGAGAUCGUUAAGGAAGUCUCUGGGACAGUUGGUGUCUUCGCAGAAGAUAAUGUCGAAUAUAAUGCUAUAGCAUCCCUCACCAUUACCACAAAUGUCCGCACGUACGGUCCCUUCGGAGAAACACAGAGCACCACUUUCAGUGUUCCUGUGCAGGACAAUAAGAACAUCGUGGGUUUCUUUGUGUGCGCUGGUAAAUACGUGGAGGCGCUCGGGGUUUACGUGCGUUCACCCGUUUCAACCUAG